CAGCCGCCGCGGUAAUACGAAGGGUGCAAGCGUUAAUCGGAAUUACUGGGCGUAAAGCGUGCGUAGGCGGUUUGUUAAGUCCGUUGUGAAAGCCCUGGGCUCAACCUGGGAAUUGCGGUGGAUACUGGGUCACUAGAGUGUGGUAGAGGAUAGUGGAAUUUCCGGUGUAGCAGUGAAAUGCGUAGAGAUCGGAAGGAACAUCUGUGGCGAAGGCGACUAUCUGGGCCAACACUGACACUGAGGCACGAAAGCGUGGGGAGCAAACAGGAUUAGAUACCCCAGUAGUCCCUGUCUCUUAUAC
This 301-nucleotide ribosomal RNA is filed under the name uncultured bacterium. RNAcentral describes it as "partial 16S ribosomal RNA". It matches the Rfam family "Bacterial small subunit ribosomal RNA", at positions 509 to 807 of the family's 1533-position model. The record is from RNAcentral.